Molecule: long non-coding RNA, 212 nt
Filed under: Vulpes vulpes (red fox)
Lineage: Eukaryota; Metazoa; Chordata; Mammalia; Carnivora; Canidae
Description: lncRNA (ENSVVUG00000028365.1)
Source: RNAcentral
AUGAGAAAAAGCCAACUCCUAGGAGCACAGGGAACAAUGGACCUCAUGGCAAGUGCUGGAGAUCAGAGAAGACAGGUUUCACUCAACCCAGUCUUGGAGUUCACUGAAGGAGGGUCCUUCUCCUGGUCACCUCCGUGUCCUCCCGGUGCAUCAGAAGUCUCCAUGUGUUUUUGUGGCACGAAUAAACAAACUAAUGAAUGUGCGAAUGUUAC